This 497-nucleotide ribosomal RNA is filed under the name uncultured bacterium. Its description in RNAcentral is "partial 16S ribosomal RNA". It matches the Rfam family "Bacterial small subunit ribosomal RNA", at positions 28 to 507 of the family's 1533-position model. The record is from RNAcentral.
GAUGAACGCUGGCGGCGUGCCUAAUACAUGCAAGUCGAGCGAACGGACGAGAAGCUUGCUUCUCUGAUGUUAGCGGCGGACGGGUGAGUAACACGUGGAUAACCUACCUAUAAGACUGGGAUAACUUCGGGAAACCGGAGCUAAUACCGGAUAAUAUUUUGAACCGCAUGGUUCAAAAGUAAAAGACGGUCUUGCUGUCACUUAUAGAUGGAUCCGCGCUGCAUUAGCUAGUUGGUAAGGUAACGGCUUACCAAGGCAACGAUGCAUAGCCGACCUGAGAGGGUGAUCGGCCACACUGGAGCUGAGACACGGUCCAGACUCCUACGGGAGGCAGCAGUAGGGAAUCUUCCGCAAUGGGCGAAAGCCUGACGGAGCAACGCCGCGUGAGUGAUGAAGGUCUUCGGAUCGUAAAACUCUGUUAUUAGGGAAGAACAUAUGUGUAAGUAACUGCGCACAUCUUGACGGUACCUAAUCAGAAAGCCACGGCUAACUACGUG